Molecule: ribosomal RNA, 253 nt
Filed under: uncultured bacterium
Lineage: Bacteria
Description: partial 16S ribosomal RNA
Rfam family: Bacterial small subunit ribosomal RNA
Source: RNAcentral
UACGGGGGGGGCAAGCGUUGUUCGGAAUUACUGGGCGUAAAGGGUCUGUAGGUGGCCAAUUAAGUCAGACGUGAAAUCCCUCAGCUUAACUGGGGAACUGCGUCUGAGACUGGAUGGCUCGAGUGCAGGAGAGGAAUGCGGAAUUCCAGGUGUAGCGGUGAAAUGCGUAGAUAUCUGGAGGAACACCUGCGGUGUAGACGGCUUACUGGACCGUAACUGACGCUGAGGCACGAAAGCGUGGGGAGCAAACAGG